ACUGCUGUCUAGUUAGCAUUUAAUGUGAAUGCGAUGGCUCUUAAUCAUUUCGUUAUUUGAAUACCUUACUACUGGAACCUGUGGUAAUUCUAGAGCUAAUACAUGCUAAAAACCUCGACUUCGGAAGGGGUGUAUUUAUUAGAUAAAAAACCAAUGCCCUUCGGGGCUCCUUGGUGACCCAUAAUAACUUAACGAAUCGCAUGGCCUUGCGCCGGCGAUGGUUCAUUCAAAUUUCUGCCCUAUCAACUUUCGAUGGUAGGAUAGUGGCCUACCAUGGUGGCAACG
This 285-nucleotide ribosomal RNA is filed under the name Aspergillus niger. RNAcentral describes it as "partial 18S ribosomal RNA". It matches the Rfam family "Eukaryotic small subunit ribosomal RNA", at positions 56 to 357 of the family's 1831-position model. Lineage: Eukaryota; Fungi; Ascomycota; Eurotiomycetes; Eurotiales; Aspergillaceae. The record is from RNAcentral.